AUCUAUGGCCAUACCACCCUGAACAUGCCCGAUCUCGUCUAAUCUUGGAAGCUAAGAGGGGUUGGGACUGGUUAGUACUUGGAUGGGAGAUUGACCAUGUCAGAUCUAAUUACAUUGUCAUUGAUU
Molecule: non-coding RNA, 126 nt
Organism: Macaca mulatta (Rhesus monkey)
Lineage: Eukaryota; Metazoa; Chordata; Mammalia; Primates; Cercopithecidae
Source: Rfam